Molecule: non-coding RNA, 173 nt
Filed under: Clostridium neonatale
Lineage: Bacteria; Bacillati; Bacillota; Clostridia; Eubacteriales; Clostridiaceae
Source: RNAcentral
UCGAUCGUGAGGUGGAAUCCGAAGGAAGUUGGCGGCAAAGCCUUGGUCUGAGGUACACGAACCACAUUCGAGGCUCAAUUCUGUGGGUAAACUUGCCAAACAAAGUAAAGCCCUAUAACUAUCCAAAACAGAAAGAGUAGAUGUGGCAGAUGUAUGAGGUGAAAGUACGUGUU